RNAcentral lists this long non-coding RNA (206 nucleotides) under Elaeis guineensis (African oil palm). RNAcentral describes it as "long non-coding RNA (EGUI_LNC064387)". The record is from RNAcentral. Lineage: Eukaryota; Viridiplantae; Streptophyta; Magnoliopsida; Arecales; Arecaceae.
CUACGGGAGCCGGACUUCACCCCGACUUCAAUUGCAGGAAGACUCCGUCCAGACUCCUACGGGAGCCGGACUUCGUCUCCGACUUCAACCGCAGGUAGACUUCGUCCGGACUCCUAUGGGAGCCGGACUUCGUCCCCGACUUCAACUGCAAGUGGAUUUCGUCCGGACUCCUACGGGAGCCGGACUUUGCUCCCAACUUCAAUUGC